Non-coding RNA from Rattus norvegicus (Norway rat), 1337 nucleotides. The record is from RefSeq and is a predicted model, not a curated record. Lineage: Eukaryota; Metazoa; Chordata; Mammalia; Rodentia; Muridae.
UCUCACUUGAAGCAAUGUGUGGCGCUCUAUGGCCUACCCUGUGGUCACUCAAGAAGGUAGACAGAGAGGAAGAGAGAAGCGUAAUCGUAAUCGUGUGAACUCGGAGGCAGUCGAAUCUGUGGCUAGCUUCCUAACAGACGACUCCAGAGAUGACGCCAGUGUCCAGGGUGGAAGUUCCUUGCAGCAACUGACUGGACGGUCAGUUUGCCACGGAGCGCUCUGUCACUACGCAAACCUGCUGCGCCCCAUCUCCAAUGCUGUUCUGUGGAGGAGCGGAGCAGGAAGAGAGUGGAAGGAAAGCAGCUUCCAGGAGUUUAUUGAACAGGCUUCAGAACAAAGAAUACCAAGGUGAAUAGAGACAAAGGAACUACAGAGAUGUGGAUAACAACAUGUACUGCUCAUGCAGAGAACCUGAACUCCGUUCCCAGCACCCACGUCCCUCACGACCACCUCCACCUCCAUCUUCAAAGUCUCUGUAGAUACCCGUACUCAUGUGCACGUACACAGAUGGUCAAGAAUGAGCAUCUCGAUAAUUACCAAAAUUUCGUGCCUGACUGAUGAGUUUUUCAAGUGCUGUGCUGUGAUUUCCUUCACCUUGAACCAUGCCCGUGACAGAAGCUGCUCAGAUGUUUGUAAGUUGCGGGAAGUUCAUGGGGUUGUGAGUCUCGUCAGGCCCUUCCCAUGGCUGUCUGAGCAGUGAGCGACUGCAGGGCUGUGAUGAACAAGAAGCCAGCACCACUGAGGCAAAGACCUUUGUUUUAUUGGGACUAUGGACGGUGGUUAUCUAGAGCUGAGAAAUUAGCAGUGAUUAAGAGACCAGCAUCACUGAGGUAAAAUCUUCUGAGAAGUCUUUCCUCAAGGUCAGCACACAGAAGUUGUGGCCCGGAGUAAGCCAAGUUUGUAGUUUGUUCUUGCAGCUGACCUUGGUAAUGUGUAAGAGUUUGGAAGGUGUUCUGAAGGAAUGAAGGGUGAGAGGCCAGGAGAGUCCACUGAAGAAGGUGUAGUUUCAGUUGAAGUAGAAGCGUCAGGGCUGAAGGAGUCAUGGAAGAAACCUGAGGCCUGGAACCAUGAGGCAGUGUCAGAGUGCCGGAAGAGACUCCAGGAAGCCACUAGUGAAGGUGCAGCCCAAUUGCCAUAGAAACCCUAGCAGUUUGGAGAACCCAACAAUAGAUCGUGAGUUGUGUGAAAAUAGAGAAAGUGAGGUAAGUCCAAGCAUGCACACAUCCAUUCUCUCUCUGCUUGGUGGAUAUGACUAGCUGCUCCAAGUUCCCUCUGCCAUGAUUCUCCCACAGCGAUGGACUAUAUAACCUGUCAGCUAAAAUAAACCUUCCCUCUCU